Long non-coding RNA from Pipra filicauda (Wire-tailed manakin), 169 nucleotides. RefSeq lists it as uncharacterized. Lineage: Eukaryota; Metazoa; Chordata; Aves; Passeriformes; Pipridae. The transcript is spliced from 3 exons. The record is from RefSeq and is a predicted model, not a curated record.
UUCACCACACAGGACGGGGUUUUCCUCAUCUCCCGAAUCCUGUCUGGGGUGGAGAAAGGAGGGAGCCAUAGCUGCCUUAUUCCGCAUUUUUGUUCAGUGACAAGGUCCUCUGGGGAUUUCUUCAUGCAAAGUUGAUGCUUCCAAGUGAUAUUGAUGACAGACUGGUAAG